This 444-nucleotide unclassified non-coding RNA is filed under the name Hevea brasiliensis (rubber tree). Lineage: Eukaryota; Viridiplantae; Streptophyta; Magnoliopsida; Malpighiales; Euphorbiaceae. The record is from RNAcentral.
UCCGUUGAUGGUCAGACCAAGUGUCUAGCGGUUGACGGCGGUUUGGCUAUGAGCAAUCCAGCAUCUGCCGCAAUUACGCAAUAACAAGCAAGAGUUUCCGUUCGUGAGAGGAGUGGAAGAUUUAUUAGUACUAUCACUAGGUACUGGUCAGCUCCUUGAGGUUAGCUACGAUUAUGAGGAGGUUAAGAACUGGAGGGCCAAGCACUGGGCUCGACCCAUGUCUCGAAUUUCGGGCGAUGGUUCGGCCGAUUCAAUGGACCAAGCUAUGGCCAUGGCAUUUGGGCAGUGUAGGAGCAGUAACUACGUAAGAAUUCAGGCAAAUGGGUCCAGCUUAGGAAGGUGUGGACCCAAUGUGGACACAGACUCUGGUCCUAACAAUGUGAAGAUGUUGAUUGCCAUAGCAGAGGAAAUGUUGAAGCAGAAAAAUGUUGAAUCAGUUCUGUU